RNAcentral lists this long non-coding RNA (745 nucleotides) under Brassica napus (rape). RNAcentral describes it as "long non-coding RNA (BNAP_LNC016362)". Lineage: Eukaryota; Viridiplantae; Streptophyta; Magnoliopsida; Brassicales; Brassicaceae. The record is from RNAcentral.
AAAAAUCAGUUUGGGAAGAAGCGGUGGGUUUCAGAUUUGUUUCUUCCAGUUCCGGUCAUUAUUCACAAUAAUGGGGAAUGUGUGUUUUGUCUGGUGUAGAGAGAAGUAGCCAGACUUGACAGUGUAGGCUCUGUUCUUUGAUAGCGGCCAGACGUAGGAGUUUGGGAGUCUAGAAGACUUGGUUGGAUGGAUAGGAUGUGAGCUGCUAGCUCCGGGAGGAGGGAGUUUAUCCAUUGGAUGUUCCACUCCCGAGUUUCUCUUGUGAGGAUGUCGGAAACCAUCAGAUCUUUAUCAGCGAUGAAUACUGGGCCGUAGGGCUUCAGGUUUGUUUCUGGAUCAAUCCAUGAAUCAUUCCAGAGACUUGUAGUUUCUCCGUUACCAAUAACUUUGCCUAAAUGUUGUAGGAGGAGGUCGCGGCCUUUGAGAAUUCUUCUCCACGUGUGGGAGAUGGAUGAGUUCUCUGUGACUUUCAAGAAGGACGUCUUGUGAUAGUAUUUGCCUAGGAUGAUCUUUGAGAAGAGGCAAUCAGGAGCAAUGAUCAAGUAUAAAUAUAAAAACAAAAUUGAAGAAGCUCUUAGUCGAAUUAGUAUGCUCUGUUGUUGUGAGCCAAGCAACGACUUGUUUACAAUUAUUGAUUUUGCAAAUAAAAAUUAAAGAUUAAAACUGUUUGAUUAAAAAACUAGAGAUUUGCAUGCAAUAAAAACGGUGAGAUUUUACUGAAAAUAUAGUUAAAUUUUCGAUCUGA